ACGCUAGCUACAGGCUUAACACAUGCAAGUCGAGGGCAGCGGGUUGAAAGCUUGCUUUCAAUGCCGGCGACCGGCGCACGGGUGCGUAACGCGUAUCAAACCUGCCUCAUACUCGGGGAUAGCCUUGCGAAAGUAAGAUUAAUACCCGAUGUUAUUAGUUCACCGCAUGGUGGAUUAAUCAAAGAUUUAUCGGUAUGAGAUGGUGAUGCGUCCGAUUAGGUAGUAGGCGGGGUAACGGCCCACCUAGCCUUCGAUCGGUAGGGGUUCUGAGAGGAAGGCCCCCCACACUGGAACUGAGACACGGUCCAGACUCCUACGGGAGGCAGCAGUGAGGAAUAUUGGUCAAUGGGCGAGAGCCUGAACCAGCCAAGUAGCGUGCAGGAUGACGGCCCUCCGGGUUGUAAACUGCUUUUAGUUGGGAAUAAAAAAAGGGACUUGUCCCUUCUUGUAUGUACCUUCAGAAAAAGGACCGGCUAAUUCCGUGCCAGCAGCCGCGGUAAUACGGAAGGUCCAGGCGUUAUCCGGAUUUAUUGGGUUUAAAGGGAGCGUAGGCGGAUUGUUAAGUCAGCGGUUAAAGGGUGUGGCUCAACCAUGCAUUGCCGUUGAAACUGGCAAUCUUGAGUGCAGACAGGGAUGCCGGAAUUCGUGGUGUAGCGGUGAAAUGCUUAGAUAUCACGAAGAACUCCGAUCGCGAAGGCAGGUGUCCGGGCUGCAACUGACGCUGAGGCUCGAAAGUGUGGGUAUCAAACAGGAUUAGAUACCCUGGUAGUCCACACAGUAAACGAUGUAUACUCGCGGUUUGCGAUAGAUUGUAAGCCGCCAAGCGAAAGCAUUAAGUAUACCACCUGGGGAGUACGCCGGCUACGGUGAAACUCAAAGGAAUUGACGGGGGCCCGCACAAGCGGAGGAAC
This 911-nucleotide ribosomal RNA is filed under the name uncultured bacterium. RNAcentral describes it as "bacterial SSU rRNA". It matches the Rfam family "Bacterial small subunit ribosomal RNA", at positions 33 to 938 of the family's 1533-position model. The record is from RNAcentral.